GCCGCGGUGGCGAAACUGGCAGACGCGUAUGGCUUAGAACUAUAUGAGGUAAAACUCUUGGGAGUUCGACUCUCCCCCGCGGCACCA
This 87-nucleotide transfer RNA is filed under the name candidate division WWE3 bacterium CG08_land_8_20_14_0_20_40_13. RNAcentral's name for it is "tRNA-Leu". It matches the Rfam family "tRNA". From Rfam's summary of the family: Transfer RNA (tRNA) molecules are approximately 80 nucleotides in length. Their secondary structure includes four short double-helical elements and three loops (D, anti-codon, and T loops). Further hydrogen bonds mediate the characteristic L-shaped molecular structure. tRNAs have two regions of fundamental functional importance: the anti-codon, which is responsible for specific mRNA codon recognition, and the 3' end, to which the tRNAs corresponding amino acid is attached (by aminoacyl-tRNA synthetases). tRNAs cope with the degeneracy of the genetic code in two manners: having more than one tRNA (with a specific anti-codon) for a particular amino acid; and 'wobble' base-pairing, i.e. permitting non-standard base-pairing at the 3rd anti-codon position. Lineage: Bacteria; candidate division WWE3. The record is from RNAcentral.